UUUUUUUAAAAUUUUAUCAUUAACGAUAAAAAAGGAAGCAUUACAUGACUAAGGUAUUAGCACGGUCGACACAAAAAUCAACACUAGUACGAGGGAGACAUAAAGGUGGUAUUUGAUGUUUGAUGGAUGUGAAGGGCAUUUAAUGGUGAAAAGAUGGUAAGAAUUGAAGAAAACAAAAGUGUAAGACAAAAACAAGAAGAAUAGAAGGUUUUGUGAAUUUUUUUUUAAAAUUUUAGCAUUACAAAUAAAAAAUGAAGCAUUACAUGACUCAGGUAUUAGCACGGUCGACACAAAAAUCAACAGUAGUACGAUGGACAAAUAAAGGUGGUAUUAGAUGGAUGAUGGAUGUCAAGGUCAUUUAAUGGUGAAAAGAUGGUAAAAAGAAAACAAAAGGGUAAGACAAAAACAAGAAGAAUAGAAGGUUGCGUGGAUUUUUUUUAAAUUUUUUAGCAUUAACAAUAAAAAAUGAAGCAUUACAUGACUCAGGUAUUAGCACGGUCGACACAAAAAUAAACACUAAUACGAUGGACACAUAAAGGUGGGAUUAGAUGGAUGAUGGAUGUCAAGGUCAUUUAAUGGUGAAAAGAUGGUAAAAAAACAAAAGCGUAGGACAUGAAGGGUGGGGAUAAACACAUGAAGGGUGGGGAUUAAAAAACGAUUAAAAAAAAUAAAAAUAAAAUAAAAACUACACGUGGGUUGCAAAAUGACGCA
Molecule: long non-coding RNA, 711 nt
Filed under: Zostera marina
Lineage: Eukaryota; Viridiplantae; Streptophyta; Magnoliopsida; Alismatales; Zosteraceae
Description: long non-coding RNA (ZMAR_LNC004568)
Source: RNAcentral